This is a non-coding RNA of Arachis ipaensis, 804 nucleotides long. The record is from RefSeq and is a predicted model, not a curated record. Lineage: Eukaryota; Viridiplantae; Streptophyta; Magnoliopsida; Fabales; Fabaceae.
CCCUCCUGGGCUCCAGUUCCGUGGCGGUCCAGGCCACCUCUUCUCCAGUUCCGCGGUGGUCCAGGCCACCUCUUCUCUAGUUCUGCCGCGUCCAGCCUUCCGUCGUGCUCCCUCACCUCUGUUCUCUAGAAGAGAAGGUAUUUUUUUUACUGUAAUUGUUGUUUUAAUUUUUCUUCUUCAAUUAUUGUUGUUAUCACCGUGGUCUAGGAUUGUUGAUGAUAUUCUUGAUUCUGUUAUGCUGUUGUUGGUCGCCACCCACAACCAUCGACAGCAGCCGACGACCACCGGCCGAGCCCGCCUCCUUCUGAAUUUGGCUGAAAUUCAAGGAGCAUAUGCAGUACUGGAGUAGAUAAGCAAGCUUGCCAAGGUUCAGAAAAAGGUCUCUGAAGUUAAGGGUGUCAUGAUCUAGAAUAUUGAAAAGGCUGUAGAAACGUGAGAACUUUGUUUCAAUUAGAUAUGCAGUUUUAUUUUUCCAAAAGUAUCUAUUGAUUUGCCAGAUUUGGUUUUGAAACUUUAAUCAAAAUAAAACAGGAAACUUUAGUUUUGCAUGUAGCUUAGCCAACUAAUUUAGAAAAAAAGGAAGCCUUUGGAGGAACAGGGCCAGGUGGAGCAAGAAAUAUUGCAAUUAUUUGUUGAUGGGUGCAUGAGGGACUUCAAAUCAUGCUAUUUCAAGAUUUUCAGAAGUUAAUGCGAGUCUUGUGUCAAACUCUCUGCCAAUUGAGUUAAAUAUAUAUAGAGAGAACUCUUGUUAAAAAAUUUGUGUCAAUAUUUUUUUAAUGAAUAUCUUACAGUAUUUUAUCUAAA